GGGGGGGGGGGGGGGGGGGCGGGGGGGGGGGGGGGGGGGGGGGGGGGGCGGGGCGGGGGGCGCGCGGGUGCGGGGCGCGUGGGGCGCUGCCCCGGGGGUCGGGGGGAGAGGUGGAAGGGGCUGCUGAGCCCGGGUGGUGCCGUACGUCCAAUGGUUUCUCGCCCCGGUGUGCGCCCGCGUCGGAUUGGCUCGUUGGUGGGGUACAUGCCUACCAAGGCGACGCUCCUUAGCUGGUCUGAGAGGAUGAGCAGCCACACUGGGACUGAGACACGGCCCAGACUCCUACGGGAGGCAGCAGUGGGGAAUAUUGGACAAUGGGCUAAAGCCUGAUCCAGCAAUGCCGCGUGAGUGAUGAAGGCCUUAGGGUUGUAAAGCUCUUUUACCCGGGAUGAUAAUGACAGUACCGGGAGAAUAAGCCCCGGCUAACUCCGUG
Molecule: ribosomal RNA, 433 nt
Filed under: uncultured bacterium
Lineage: Bacteria
Description: partial 16S ribosomal RNA
Rfam family: Bacterial small subunit ribosomal RNA (bases 53-433)
Source: RNAcentral